GUGCCAGCAGCCGCGGUAAUACGUAGGUGGCAAGCGUUAUCCGGAAUUAUUGGGCGUAAAGCGCGCGUAGGCGGUUUUUUAAGUCUGAUGUGAAAGCCCACGGCUCAACCGUGGAGGGUCAUUGGAAACUGGAAAACUUGAGUGCAGAAGAGGAAAGUGGAAUUCCAUGUGUAGCGGUGAAAUGCGCAGAGAUAUGGAGGAACACCAGUGGCGAAGGCGACUUUCUGGUCUGUAACUGACGCUGAUGUGCGAAAGCGUGGGGAUCAAACAGGAUUA
Molecule: ribosomal RNA, 276 nt
Filed under: uncultured Staphylococcus sp.
Lineage: Bacteria; Bacillati; Bacillota; Bacilli; Caryophanales; Staphylococcaceae
Description: partial 16S ribosomal RNA
Rfam family: Bacterial small subunit ribosomal RNA
Source: RNAcentral